RNAcentral lists this unclassified non-coding RNA (2561 nucleotides) under Ooceraea biroi (clonal raider ant). Its description in RNAcentral is "transmembrane protein 268, transcript variant X6". The record is from RNAcentral. Lineage: Eukaryota; Metazoa; Arthropoda; Insecta; Hymenoptera; Formicidae.
CUUUUCGAUGUUCCCACGAUGAAUCAUGUCGCACGAGAACACGGAUGGCACCUUUAUGCCUUGGAUUCCAUAUCCGGACACUCCCUACUUCCAACUGAAUAAAAUCGGCUGUACGCGUGACACACCACACCGCGUAGCUGCUCGUGACGAAUUCCACUACUACUUAUUGUUAGUUAAAAAUUACCGUUUCAUGAGUUCCAACGACACAACUGAUAACGCAAUGGCUAAUACUUCUGAAGACACAACUGACAAUGCGAUGGCUGAUACUUCUGAUACAGCCAUGAAGAUUAAGAAUUGGGUCCAAUUUGAGGAGGAGACGGGUCCAAAGGAAGUUACUGACAUGGAAAAAAGAGCCGGUAGCAGUGCUCCGGCUGUAAUAAAACCCGAGUCAGUUACAGUGCGAGUCGAUAAGAUCAAUAAAAGUAUUGACUCUGAUAUUAACGAUAAGAGGAUUAACGAGUAUAGAGGUGCUGUGAUAGCAACUGAAUCCGUCCAGAUUAAUUUAGAUAGAUCAGGUUUAAGUCGUUCCGUCACAUCUGACACUCCGGAUCUUAAAUUACCAUCUGACGUUAGAGCGUCAGACGCCAAAAGCGCAUCUUUAAAAACUAUCGAUUUAAGAGAUGUGUCCAAUGGCAGAAAUGCGUCAAGUAACGUUAUAAGUACAUCUGUUGGCAACAUUAGACAAGGUUUCGCCAACGGUGAUACCAUCGUUACUCUUUUACCGGUCAAUACUAAAUGGCCAUGGAUCACUCCAGCCAGAUUCAGACCGGAAUUAGUACCAGAGGAAUUAAUGGCACAAGGAUUAACGCUUACGGUAGAAGAUUAUGUUCAUAUAAUGGAGUUACUUGUGAACGAUGUGCGUUUCAAUAUGUAUAACAUAUGUUACAAGAGGAUCCUCGUCCUUUGGAUAUUCACCGCCUUUGUUGUUCUGCUUGGUCUAUUGUUCUCCGGAGUCACCGGUCUUACUUUGUUCGGGCUUGGUGUCAUGUGGUUAGUCCUGAAUGCAGCUGCAAUAUUUUUCUGCAUGUUUAUCAAGAUAAAGCUCAAUCACAAUCUCGAAAAAUGUAUGGCCCAAGUCAACAAACAUUUAUUAAGGCAUAAAAUAUUACUGGGAUUGGACGACCGAGGAAAAAUCUCAUGCCACAAAGUCAAUCUGUGUUUCAUAUACUUCGACACUACUGACUGUAUUAAAAAACUGCAGGAAGUGAUAGAACGAGAAGAACGCGAAGGUAGGAUAAUUGGUAGUGGUGAUGAAGCGAGCGAAUUAAGUCGGCAACGAGAGUUACAGCAGCGUAUGGACAUUGACGACAAUGACAUUGUUAUACAGGGCAGCACUACCACAAGAAUCUCUCGCAAACAGCUGGACGGAAGAUGACAAAUCUCAGUAUAUUACCUCCGCAUCCGCAUAUCACCAACGCAUAAAAAAAUAAUCUCUAAUAUCAUGAUAUCCACCAGGUUUUACAUGGUGCGCCUACCUUAGUGAACCUGCAACCCGAUUUGAUAUGGUACCGAGUAUACAUACCAUUAACUAGUUUUUGCCUUUACAGAUUAUUAAACAGUAUUUUACGUUUAAAGUUUACAUAAAGAGGAAAAGGUGAGCUGUAUAUCAAAAGAAAACCUAUAUUGUUAUACAUACGAGAUAUUUCUAUGUUAAUCUCAAUUUUGAACUUUUGUUUACAUCUUUUAAAAGAUUUAUAUAAGCCAGUUAUAUUGUUAUCGGAUAUUUAGGGAGUGUAUAUAUCUUUUAUAACUCAUAUUUUUAUAUAUGUAUAUAACUAAUAUCAUUUGUUCUUUUUAUCAUCUUUUUAUUUUACCUUGAAUAUGUAUCGUACAUAUGCACAUGUUAAUUAAGAUUAUUUAAUCUUAUGCAAAUUAUUUGCCGAGUAAAAUAAUGAAAUAAUUUUUUAAUACUUGUUUACGAGAAACAGUAUUUCGAUAAGUAUGUUUAGCAAUGCAUAUAUAGUUUUAUUGUUAUAUACACACACACAUACACAAGUUUACGAUCAAUUCCGCAUACAGCUUUAUUUGAUCGUUAGUUUAUUUUUAUCAGUUUUAAAGAGUUAUAGGAAAUUCUAUAUAAAGAAUGUACUAUUUUGCGAAAACCAUAUAUAAAAGAUAUAUAAAAGAUGAAGUGUAUAAAAAAGUUAAUAUUGUAAUGUUAUAAAACAAUAUACGAUUUCCUUUUUUCUAUUACAUUGCUCAAACUAUUAUAUUGUCAAUUCUAAAGCUAAUUUUCGAUAACUCUUUGAAUAAUUAAAACUAAUAAUUUUAUUUCAAUUGAAUUACCCUUUUAAUAUUUUAGUUUACAAAGCUAAUGAUAUAAUAAAAACAAUUUGCAAAGUUUUACUUUCAAGAAGCAGCACAGGAAAUUGUAAUAUUUUAUAUAAUCUGUACUGUUUCCCAAAAUAAAUGUGAAUGAUUAUAGCUGUAAUACUUUAACUCACUGCUUCGACGAGUAGUAGUAACUAGGUAUUAAGUUGUUAUUGUGCCUUAUUAUGAAUUUUGUUGAGAUAGUUUUUUGAAAUGUUCUGUAUCAUCAAAUAAAACAAAACUCCACGCAA